UUGAUUUUUUUUUUUUUGGUUCGAAUUUUUAUUGUGGUAGAGUAAUUGGAUUCUGAUAAUUGUCAAUCUAAUUGCAUGAAUCAUUCGAAUUAUGAAGGAAACAGAAGUAAAUUCGUAGAAUUCGAAUUUUAGGUGAUUGAAAAAACCUUCAAAGUUCUUGUUUUUGGGAUAAAUUCAUCGAUUGUUUGUAUGUAAAUAUUUAAGCCGAAUUAUUGCUGUAAGUUCAAUCAAAUUACCCUUAAUUUUGUCGAAUUUACUCAACGAAUUCCUGGGGUUUUGAUUCGAUUUUUUUGCUCGAAAUUUCUCGAAUUAAUGCUCGAAUUUGCUCAAUUUUUUGCUCGAAUUAAUGCUCGAAUUCCUGGGGUUUCUUAGGGUUUUAUUUUGUUUUUUUGCUCGAAAUUGGGGGUUUUAUUAAUGCUUGAAUUGGGGGUUUUAUUAAUGCUCAAAUUCCUGCAGUUUGGUUGUUGAAUUUGUGGAAAUUUUUUUGGUCGAAUAUCUGGGGGUUUUUGGGUAGAAUUUCUGGGGUUUUUGGGUCGAUUUUUUGGGUUUUUUGGGUCGAAUUUCCUUGAAUUUCUGGGCGAUUUUUGCUCAAAUUUCCUUGAAUUUCUGGGUGAUUUUUGCCUUGGGGAUUGCCUUGGACUCGGGUUUUUUCAGCCUGUGUUUAGAAAAUGACUGCUUGAAGCUGUGCAAUGCCUUGAAGAAAAGAGAUGUGCAGCCUACUUAGUUUGGUUUGGUAGUGAAUAAUAUCCAGAAUUUAGCUGCUAGGUGUCGUGUUUGUUCCUUUUCUUUUGUGAAACGUGAUGGCAAUCGGGUUGCUCAUGAGCUGGCAAAAAUGAGUUGUAAGGCCUGUUGAAAAAAUUAAUGACUUGCAUUGUGCAAAUGUGCUUAAUCCAUUGUUUUUAAAACAACUGUCUAAGGCCUGUGUACAGAACAGAAGGAAGCACUAAUGUUGAAAUGGGUGAUCUUUUAUAGGUAGUUUAAGGGGUCUAAUAUUGAAAUGAGUAAAAUAUAGAUGAUUCGUAUGCAGCUAGGUUGGAGAUUAGACAAUUGCAAGCAAUAGAAGUGAUUUGCAACUUUCAAACAUAAUGUCUUCAAAAGGUUCUUGAGCAAGAUAGCAAUUAUCAAUUAUCAUUGCUGUGAAGUCAUCUGAUAAACAGUCAACAACCGUGGUUCUUUCCUUGACUAUGUCUGGUGUGGAAAAUAGUUAGCAUGAAUAUGAUUAGACAAAUCUCAAAGUUAAACAAAAGAACAAUAUAAAUGGCAGAAGGGGUGUUAGAAGAAGUUAUAAAGUUCCACUGAAGGCAAAAUUUGAUCCAUGAAAGUUGGCUUGACAAAAUUCAGUCCCACAAGUGGAGGAAGUAAUGUUUUUGUAUUUUAAGCAAGUUCCUCCUACAUAUUCUCAACAAAUGAUCGACGAGCUUAGGAAAAGGUGGAUUUCAUAUGUUACCGGAUACCAUCAACCAAAUGACGACAACGACGACGAUCUAUGUGAAUUGUAGAUCAAUAUGGUAUUGGUAUAUCUAAGCAUGAUUUUUUUUCAAUCAACAUUAACUAGAAAGUUGUUUUGAUAUUUAACUCACGUAUUUGUUUGUAUAGUACAAAUUUUGUAUGAAUGAUUCAAUUUAAUUGUAGUUCGAUGUUUUAAAUUA
This is a long non-coding RNA of Chenopodium quinoa (quinoa), 1649 nucleotides long. RefSeq lists it as uncharacterized. Lineage: Eukaryota; Viridiplantae; Streptophyta; Magnoliopsida; Caryophyllales; Amaranthaceae. The record is from RefSeq and is a predicted model, not a curated record. The transcript is spliced from 4 exons.